GGUGAAAAAAUUUUAUAUGAUAUAUAUCUUUAUUGCCUAUUGAUACGCCAGAGCCAACCAGAGUUGGCUUCUGUCUAGUGUUCCUAGUCAUUUGUGAGAACUUGUUAAAAUAUUGCAAUGUUCUGAAGCAUCUUGCCAUUGACCAUAUGUGUACAACACAACUUUCAGGCUUUGCCAUUAAUUACAGCUAAGUCCUGACUCAUAUUAACACACUGCAUAUUUCCAGUGGGCUGGAACCAAUGACCAUAUUUUGUGUAAUUAUAACUUUGAAGAAUUAGAAUAUAUGCAGCCACUUCAAGGGAUCCAUUAUUCACACUAAUCUGGUAACUGGCUGUCAUCCAGAUGACCCAAUGCCAGGUGAUGUGAACUUGCUUUAACAGUUCCUGGUUUUCCUUCAGAUGAUAUGCUUCUCCUCUGAGAUCUGCUGUGUUACAAUGAUCCAUUUUCUGCUUCCUGGAAUCUUUAAGGAGGCCAUCAGUAUGAUUCUCCUCAACCUGAACAAGUAUUGGCAUGCUGCUGUGCCUAAAUGAUCUGUAGCUCUUUUGGGAAAGAUAUGUCCCGUGUUGUGCUGCCCUGGUUGCCAAGAACUUUCUUCUUGAAUGUUACAAUCAACAUUUUGUAUUCAAUGGUGCCUUUGUGACAUAUAGUGAUGCAAUCCCACUAGCCAGGAACUAGUCAUACAUAAGCCAUCAUCAACAUAAGACUUACUUCAGUCAAGAGACUCCAUUGAAGGGCUUUUUUCAAACCGGUCUUGAUGCAGAGAUUAGGGUGAGGUGAAGGAUAAUCUUCACCUGCCACAGGAGAGCCAAAAUUAAGAGGAAUUGGGAGGAGAGCAGGUGUCUCCAAAAAGCCAGGCUGGGUCAAUAAUUCAAAUGUCUCUAACGUGCCAAGGUCCACAGUUUCGAGACAAAGUGGGUGAACUGGUUGACAAUGAGAAAAUUCAGAGCUUUGUGAAUAUAAAUUAAGAUGCCAAACUACAGUCUGAUCUCUCAGUUCUCAAGAAUUCCCCUCGGGCAGUUGGGCAGAGUUAUUCAAAUUUUCCAGGGCUGUUUCUUGAAAACCUGUAAGAGAAGAAAAGUCACUUACUCCUCUUGGCAUAACUGUUCCCCAGAACAUUUCAGCUUGCCAGAAACACAUCUUUGAAAAUUAAAAUAU
This 1155-nucleotide long non-coding RNA is filed under the name Monodelphis domestica (gray short-tailed opossum). RNAcentral's name for it is "lncRNA (ENSMODG00000040516.1)". Lineage: Eukaryota; Metazoa; Chordata; Mammalia; Didelphimorphia; Didelphidae. The record is from RNAcentral.